UAAGACUGCUCUUCUGACCCUGGGAAGGGGUGAGGGAAGAGGAGGAGGAGCUGCUGCAGGCAUCUAAAGCCUGGGGUCCCAACAUAGGUCUGCAUUUCCCACACUAGGGCUCCCUGAACUCCUGCUCAGCCACGGAUGAAAUGGACUCUGAGAUGAUGGAAUCCAGCUCUGAGCCAUGUUGGGAAGGUCACUUGACCUUGCUGAGUCUCAGUUUUCUCAUCAAUAAAAUGAGAAGUUUGGACUAGAGCAGGAGUUCUUAAUCUGGGGUCUACAGAUAGGAGUCCAAAGAUCGAUUUGAACUUAAGAAAUAGAUGUUAUAAUUUCCACUCAUCUCUAGGUGAAAUUUGGUAUUUCCUUCAAUAUUUAUAAAUGUUACUCUGAAACAGGAUCAAUAGACUUUACCAAUCUGCUGAAAGGUUAAGACCCCUAGAGACUAAUCUCUAAAAUUUCCUUGGACUCCAGAUGACCCAUUUCAGUGUACAAAGUAAGAAACCAAUACCUUUUGGCACACUGGAUAGACUAUCAGUUCUGGAGUCAGAAGGAUCUGAGCUAAAAACCAGCCUCAGACACUUGGAAAUUUAUUUAACCCCAUUUCUGAGAGAGACAGACACACAGAGACACAGACACAGAGAGAAACCAAAGUCCUGUUUAUACCCAAAUGACUUUCUACGUAAAGGUAGGGGGGAGAUGGGAUUUCCCAUGGCAACCCAAAGUACUAUAGUAUGAGAGAGAUUUUAGGAAGUAUUACCUUCGGGGAAAACCCAUACCUCGACUAAUCUACCAAACCAUCCCCGGGGGGACCAUGUGUGUUCAUAUUGUUUACAAGCCUCUCAUUUUAUAGAAAAAAAAAAUUGAAGUUCAGAGAGAUUCUGACUCACCAGAGUUCACAGCAGAAUUAGCCUUCCAAGCCCUCAAACAAAAAGCUUGGUUGCCUAGGAAGAGGCUUUCUACACCCUGACUGGUACCAAAGGUUCCUGUGAUUAGCGCAUCCUUCCCACAUUUUCCCAAGAAUGUUUGAGAGGGUUUAAGAGUUGGUCUGGAUUGGGGGGCGGGCUGGGGGAGAAGAGCAGUGGAAAAGGAGGUAGGGCUUCUAGGCAUCUUUGACUCUUGUGAUCAGUCUUUCUCACUGUAAAAUUAAGGGUUUCCUGCUCUCUCUUGAUCCAAAUAUCUCUUAAGCUACUGCUUGGGUGGGAGGUUGGGGUCAACAGAGAAUUCUGGGCCUGGUCUGGGGAGCCAGCCCUGUAAAUGGCUGGGGUGCCCUGAUAAUUUCCCAUUUUCCUUAUCAGGACUUAAGGAGAGAUGGGUGGGGUGAUGCAGACUUGGGGUGAGGGAAGGAGGAGGAGGAAGAGGAAGAAAAGAGAAAUAACAGAAGAGGAGGAAGAGGAAGAACAGGAGGAGGAGGAAGAAUAUGAGGAAGAGGAAGAGGAGAAAGAGAAGUAAAAAGAGGAGGAAAAAGAAUGAUACUAGAGGGAAGAGCCACAAAAUACAAGAGCCAGAAGCCAGCAACCCAAGCCAACCUUCUCCUUCUACCGGCAAAGCCACGAGAGCCCAGAGAGUGACAUCCCUCUAAGGGCAUCCUGGGAGGAAGGGGCGAAGACUGCGAUGUAUCCAAUGGCCCUUCCACCACUCCACACUGCUCUAGGAAGAUGAGAAAACUGAGGAUGAGAAGCGGCAGCUUGCCCAGAGUAUCGCAGCCUGUCGAUGCCUGAGGCAAAACUGGCAAUAUGGAGCCCCUCCGGAGAUUAACCCUCCGCCCCAGCCCCACCCCGAAGC
Molecule: long non-coding RNA, 1773 nt
Organism: Antechinus flavipes (yellow-footed antechinus)
Lineage: Eukaryota; Metazoa; Chordata; Mammalia; Dasyuromorphia; Dasyuridae
Exons: 3
Source: RefSeq, a predicted model, not a curated record